UACGUAGGGCGCAAGCGUUAUCCGGAAUUAUUGGGCGUAAAGAGCUCGUAGGCGGUCUGUCACGUCGGCUGUGAAAUCCCGAGGCUCAACCUCGGGUCUGCAGUCGAUACGGGCAAACUAGAGUAUUGCAGGGGAGACUGGAAUUCCUGGUGUAGCGGUGAAAUGCGCAGAUAUCAGGAGGAACACCGAUGGCGAAGGCAGGUCUCUGGGCUGACACUGACGCUCAUGCACGAAAGCGUGGGGAGCAAACAGG
This 253-nucleotide ribosomal RNA is filed under the name uncultured bacterium. RNAcentral describes it as "partial 16S ribosomal RNA". It matches the Rfam family "Bacterial small subunit ribosomal RNA", at positions 524 to 776 of the family's 1533-position model. The record is from RNAcentral.